This is a long non-coding RNA of Lagopus leucura (white-tailed ptarmigan), 266 nucleotides long. RefSeq lists it as uncharacterized. NCBI's taxonomy places the organism in Eukaryota, Metazoa, Chordata, Aves, Galliformes, Phasianidae. The record is from RefSeq and is a predicted model, not a curated record. The transcript is spliced from 3 exons.
AGAAGAGAAUAAGCUGUUCUGUUGUUGUCUUUUUCUUCCUGCUGUACCUAUUCAACGAUCCCAUGUGAAUAAUUAAUUCAGACCUAAAGGAGUGCUGAACCCGUGUGCUUCACAGUGGUUAACCAGGAAGAGGAGGAAGGAUUGUCCUGUUAGAGUAGUCUGAAAGGAUUAGAAGAUCCAAGGGAAUGGAAGCUUUCAGAAGGAGGAAGGAUCAGAUGGUGCUAUUGAAUCAUUCAUUUGUGGAAAGAGUUGUGAGAUUCUCGUUG